This 648-nucleotide long non-coding RNA is filed under the name Malus domestica (apple). Its description in RNAcentral is "long non-coding RNA (MDOM_LNC017765)". The record is from RNAcentral. Lineage: Eukaryota; Viridiplantae; Streptophyta; Magnoliopsida; Rosales; Rosaceae.
GAGAAACUAACACGUUAUCAAAUACAAAAAUAGUUUUUUAAUAGCAAUAUAUGUCAACAUUCUGCCAAGGUUAUUUGCAUUGGCCUAAAAAUGCACCUACAUAUGACACACAUGUGAUGUGAGUGAGUUGGUUUUGUUUUGGCAUGGAAAUGGCCACCCUAAACGGAGAUUGGAAUCUAGAAGCAUAAUUUGGAAAAGCUUUUAUUAAGAAGUCAGGAAAAAGAGGGCACCCACCCAACUUGAAGUUUCCCAUCGAAUGCCACAUGGCUUUUGUCAUGGUCAUGGUAAUGUGAAAGAAAAUGGAUGGGAUUGUGAGAGCCCACUAUAAGAGUGAGAAAGUUAUUUGGUAGUGAGCAUGGUUAUAGCACUAGUUUAAGAACAAAGAGUGAGAGCAACCACUUAGUACUACGAUCUAGUUGUAUUUUUCUUCACUUAUAAGUGAGAUAUCUUAAAUUCGAUUCUCACCAAAGGCGAAUUUAAACCACAUUAUUGCUAGCACAUUGUGAGGCUAAGCCCACUCUCUCCCCCUUAGUAUACAUAAUAUCAUUUGUUCAAAAGAAAAAAAAAUCACAAAGAAUGGGAGCAAACUUAGAAGAAUGCACAAGGAGAAAAUGGUGUGCUGAAAUUCCUUUCUUUCUAGAGAAAAAG